Molecule: long non-coding RNA, 3543 nt
Filed under: Equus caballus (horse)
Lineage: Eukaryota; Metazoa; Chordata; Mammalia; Perissodactyla; Equidae
Description: lncRNA (ENSECAG00000056098.1)
Source: RNAcentral
GUGCCUCUGGGCCAGUCACACUCCAAUUCUCAGGUUUCUCCUGGAAGGAGCCUUCCAGUGCCUCAAGUGCACACCUGAAAGAUGUCCUACUUAUCAUCUUAAAGUUGGCCAACCCACUCAGAAGCCACACCCCCCCUUGCCACAAUCUCACCAACAUACUCCACACUCACAACCAGAACCAGCCACAGUCUAACUUCAAUCCUUGCUGGCACUGCUAAAAUGGGUUCCAGCUUCCUAACCUGGAAGCCACCUGCCCUUCUCUUCUCUUUAGUUUCCUUGAGAGCUCAGUCUGGAACUUGGCUCUGCCCCAGCUUCUUGCUUUGACUCCAGUUGAUCAGACGUUACAAUCUGCCAACCUUGACCACUUGUGCAUGAGUCAAUCAACAGGUAGAGGCCACCAAUGUUUUGGAUUCCAUCAAAGAUGACAACCCUCAAGAAUAUACCAUAGGCAUGAGGUAGCCCACAGAAAUCGGGAGAAAAUUCUCAGCUCCUAUUGAAAGAAGACGGUAUAGCACAGAGCUUGGGUUUUGGAGCUAGAGAGACCUGGUUCUGAGAUCCACUUGCUCUGAAACUACCUGGCUGUGUUGCUUUGAACAAAUUUCUUAACCUCCCUGUGCCUCAGUUUCCCACUGUAAAAUGGGGACGAUAAAAUGUCAUACAUUUGGGGCAAGGGUCCCAUGAGUAAGCACUCAACACAUGUCAAUUACUAGGGGAUAUUUCUUUGUCUCUCUUUUAAAAAUAGGUUUCCCUUGUCCUUCCCCAUGACACAAUGAGGAAGCAAUGCCCAGAGUAAGUCAGUCAUGUCUUAGAUUUCACGCCAACUCACUGAAAUCGAGUAAAGAUGAGGAAAGAGAAGUUUCUGUUUGUACACCAAUGUCCUCAUCACUCACCACAGUUGUGCUGAUGGGAAAGAGAGGCUGCCGGAAGGAAACAAAAGUUCAUCAAGGGCUGGCAAAUAUUAAUCUGGGAGCUCACGGAUGGGCAGUGAUGCGCGCUCUCUGGCGGUAGGUGUUCCCUUCAUGUUCUUGCUACUUCUGGGCUGAGAGGAGUCCACACCUCACCCCUGCACUGAGGGCAGUCGCCGUGACGCUCCAUCGUCUUCUGUUCUCCAUCUACUUCCAGGCGCUUUCCAAGAGAAGGCUAGGGAGGUGGGAGAGAGACAGACAGUGGACUGAAGAUCUUGGUGAAGAAGAGAAGACAGAGCUCUCACUCCACAAUCGCCCUUUUCUCUAACAAUAUGCAUUUUCUUUUCCUAGAUUCAUGUUUUUUAACCAUGACCGUGCGUAAGAAUCACAAGAGGAAGCUUCAGAAAAAUUAUGCUGGGGCUUUAUCUCCAUUUAUUAGGAUUCAAAUUUCCGGGUGAGCCUUGAACAUGGGGAUUUUAAAAUAGCUCUUAAGUGAUUUCUGUAGGUAGCCAGGCUCGAGAAUCAUUGUCCUACUUGCAAAAUCCACCGAGAGUGUCCACAUCCCGCUCCCCUUACUUUACAGGAUGUGUUGAUCCCCAGCAACACUGCUCCUCCUUCACUGCAUGUUAGGAUGCCCUGGAGGACUUUUUUAAAAAUGAGGCUGUCCAGGGCCUGCCCCCAGAAUUUCGGAUUAGUUGGCUUGAAGUGGGGUGCAGGCGUGAAAGAUAUACCUCCACAAGCUAAUAAUUCCAUAUAUAUAUGAUUAUUCAUCACAGCAUAAUUGAUAAUAGAAAAGAUUGGAACCCAAAUGUUUAUCUAUCAGAGAUAUUAAAUAAACUCUGGUCCAACCUCAACCUGGCAUACUAUGCAUCUGUUAAAACAGAAUGAGAAGAUCCCUCUGCGCUGAUAUGAAAAGAUCUCUAGGGUAUACAGAAAGGAAAAAAAAUCCAUAGACAGAACAGCAUCUCUAGGGUACUACUGUUUGUAUAAGAAGAAGGGGAGAAAAAUCGAGAAUAUACUUUCAUGGUGCUUGUAUUUGCAUAAAGAAACACUGGAAGAAAAUAAUCAAAGUGGUGACUGUGGGAGCAGGAGGUGACAGAAUGUUUGGGGACAUGGGUGGGAUAGAGACCUUUUUCUAGAGUGUGGAUUUCUGCAACUUGCAGAUUAUCUAUGUUCAAAGACAAAGUGCUUAGCAAGUUCCUCAGGUGAUUUUCGUGAGCAGUUGUCUUUGAAAACAUUUAUCUCGGGCAAACUGCAACCUGUGGCCCCAAUCCAGCCUGCUCGCUAUAUUUUUUUGAAUAAACUUUUCAUUUUAGAACAAUUUCAGAUUUUGAGAAUUAUCAAGAAUAUACUUCAAGAAGUUCCUGCAUGCUGCAGUUUCCCUGUUAUUAACAUCUUGCAUGCAUGUGGUACAUUUGUCACAUUAAUGAACAAAUACUGAUAAAUCGUUAUUAACUGAGGGACAUACUUUAAAUUUCCUCGGGUUUCCCCUAAUGUCCUCUCUCUGUUCCAAGAUCCAAGCAGGGAUCACGUCUCCUUAGCCUUCUCUUGGCUGUGAUAAUUUCUCAGACUCACCUUCUCUGUUUUUGAGGACCCUGACAGUUUUGAGGGACACUGGUCAGGCAUUUUGUUGAAUGUCCCUCGGCUGGGAUUUGCCUGAUAUUUUUUUCAUGAUUAGACUAGGAUAACAUGUUUUGGGAAGGAAGAACACAGAUGUAAAGUGCCAUUCUCAUCACAUCAUAUCAAGGUUCUGUUAUCUGAGAUUUACUUACUUACUGACACUACAAGCUACUCCAGGCUCAUUUUAUAUAGUUCCUGCCCCAGUAGAAUCAACCAUUUCUUCAAGGAACCUGCUUCUUUUUACUGGAGAAUAUCUUGGUAUUAGGAACCAAGGUCUGGGCACUAGGUGUGCUCAUGGCUUCUGGGAUAUCUUGGCUUCUAGAUUCUCUGUUGACAGAGCAAGGAGAUGUGUAAAUAGUAACUGUGUAUAUACAUGUAUCUAUAAAGAUUUCUGUAUGUAAUCAUCUGUAUCUAUGUUAAGCUAAACCUGAUUCAUACUGAUGCUCCAACUCUAAGCCAUUCCCACAUGGAUUAUUCCAUCCCCCUGUCCUUGCUUGUCUGUAAUCUCUCACUCCGACAGUGAAAGACCUGGCUCCCACCAUCCUCCAUCCAUUUACUUAACUGUCCAGCUCCAGCAUACACAUCUAAUGGUUUCAGAAUUGUUUAUUCAUAUGCCUGUAUUCUUGCAAACUCCACUCGUUUCCAGAGUUACUUAGGUCAGUAUUUUGUUCCCCAACUCCAUUCAUUGAUGUUUUUACAUUUGUAAUUGAGAUUCUUUUGACACAUUCUGCGUUCCGACCUGGGAUCCCCCAAACCCUUAAAUGAUUUUUAAAAAAAUUUGUAUACAUUAAAGUUUGCUCGUUGUCCUGUAAAUUUCUACGGGUUCUGAUAAAUGCUUAAUGUUCUGUAUUCAUCAUUAUGGUAUAAUACAGAAUAAUUUCACCACCCUAAAAAAUUCUCUGUGUUUCAACUAUUCAACUCUCCUUCCCCUCCAAAUUCCUGGCAAGCACUAAGCUGUUUACCAUCUCUAUAGUUUUGCCUUUUCCAGUAUGUCAUAGAAUUAGAAGCUUACACUGUA